CCAGACUCCUACGGGAGGCAGCAGUGGGGAAUCUUCCGCAAUGGGCGCAAGCCUGACGGAGCAACGCCGCGUGAGUGAAGAAGGUCUUCGGAUCGUAAAGCUCUGUUGACGGGGACGAACGUGCGGAGUGCGAAUAGCGCUUUGUAAUGACGGUACCUGUCGAGGAAGCCACGGCUAACUACGUGCCAGCAGCCGCGGUAAUACGUAGGUGGCGAGCGUUGUCCGGAAUCAUUGGGCGUAAAGGGAGCGCAGGCGGGCCGGUAAGUCUUACUUAAAAGUGCGGGGCUCAACCCCGUGAUGGGAAAGAAACUAUGUGUCUUGAGUACAGGAGAGGAAAGCGGAAUUCCCAGUGUAGCGGUGAAAUGCGUAGAUAUUGGGAGGAACACCAGUGGCGAAGGCGACUUUCUGGGCAACAACUGACGCUGAGGCACGAAAGUGUGGGGAGCAAACAGGAUUAGAUACCCUGGUAGUCCACACCGUAAACGAUGGAUACUAGGAGUUGGCAAAAAUAUUGUCGGUUCCGCAGUUAACGCAUUAAGUAUCCCACCUGGGGAGUACGACCGCAAGGUUAAAACUCAAAGGAAUUGACGGGGGCCCCGCACAAG
RNAcentral lists this ribosomal RNA (605 nucleotides) under uncultured bacterium. RNAcentral's name for it is "bacterial SSU rRNA". It matches the Rfam family "Bacterial small subunit ribosomal RNA", at positions 331 to 929 of the family's 1533-position model. The record is from RNAcentral.